This 324-nucleotide ribosomal RNA is filed under the name Treponema denticola. Its description in RNAcentral is "bacterial SSU rRNA". It matches the Rfam family "Bacterial small subunit ribosomal RNA", at positions 164 to 474 of the family's 1533-position model. Lineage: Bacteria; Pseudomonadati; Spirochaetota; Spirochaetia; Treponematales; Treponemataceae. The record is from RNAcentral.
UAAUACCCGAAAUGUGCUCAUUUACAUAAAGGUAAAUGAGGAAAGGAGCUACGGCUCCGCUUCAGGAUGGGCCCGCGUCCCAUUAGCUAGUUGGUGAGGUAAAGGCCCACCAAGGCAACGAUGGGUAUCCGGCCUGAGAGGGUGAACGGACACAUUGGGACUGAGAUACGGCCCAAACUCCUACGGGAGGCAGCAGCUAAGAAUCUUCCGCAAUGGACGAAAGUCUGACGGAGCGACGCCGUGUGAAUGAAGAAGGCCGAAAGGUUGUAAAAUUCUUUUGCAGAUGAAGAAUAAGAAGAAGAGGGAAUGCUUCCUUUGAUGACG